RNAcentral lists this ribosomal RNA (253 nucleotides) under uncultured bacterium. RNAcentral's name for it is "partial 16S ribosomal RNA". It matches the Rfam family "Bacterial small subunit ribosomal RNA", at positions 524 to 776 of the family's 1533-position model. The record is from RNAcentral.
UACAGAGGGUGCAAGCGUUGUUCGGAAUUACUGGGCGUAAAGGGCGCGUAGGCGGCUUGGCAAGUGGAUGGUGAAAUCCCUCGGCUUAACCGAGGAACUGCCGUCCAAACUGCUUCGCUUGAGACCGGGAGAGGUGAGUGGAAUUCCCAGUGUAGCGGUGAAAUGCGUAGAUAUUGGGAGGAACACCAGUGGCGAAGGCGGCUCACUGGACCGGUACUGACGCUGAGGAGCGAAAGCGUGGGGAGCGAACAGG